This 253-nucleotide ribosomal RNA is filed under the name uncultured bacterium. Its description in RNAcentral is "partial 16S ribosomal RNA". It matches the Rfam family "Bacterial small subunit ribosomal RNA", at positions 524 to 776 of the family's 1533-position model. The record is from RNAcentral.
UACGUAGGGCGCAAGCGUUGUCCGGAAUUAUUGGGCGUAAAGAGCUCGUAGGCGGCUUGUCACGUCGAUUGUGAAAGCCCGAGGCUUAACCUCGGGUCUGCAGUCGAUACGGGCUAGCUAGAGUGUGGUAGGGGAGAUCGGAAUUCCUGGUGUAGCGGUGAAAUGCGCAGAUAUCAGGAGGAACACCGGUGGCGAAGGCGGAUCUCUGGGCCAUUACUGACGCUGAGAGACGAAAGCUAGGGGAGCGAAUGGG